This 1863-nucleotide ribosomal RNA is filed under the name freshwater metagenome. RNAcentral's name for it is "bacterial LSU rRNA". It matches the Rfam family "Bacterial large subunit ribosomal RNA", at positions 105 to 2044 of the family's 2925-position model. The record is from RNAcentral.
CUCGGAUCUCCGAAUGGGGCAACCCCACCGAUAGGUGACUCCGGUCUGAAUGCAUAGGACCGGUAGAGCGAACGCAGCGAACUGAAACAUCUCAGUAGCUGUAGGAAAGGAAAGCAACAGCGACUCCGCAAGUAGCGCCGAGCGAACGCGGACCUAAGCGGGAAACGUACGAACGACCUGGAAAGGUCGGCCAAAGAAGGUGAUAGCCCUGUACGACGGGAACCGUGAAUGGCUUCAAGUAGAGUCAGGCUCGAGAAACCUGGCUUGAACAUGGGGGGACCACCCUCCAAGCCUGAGUACUACUCAAUGACCGAUAGUGAACCAGUAAGGCGACUGAACGGUGAAAAGCACCCCGACAAGGGGAGUGAAAUAGCACCUGAAAUCACGUGCUUACACAGCGGUCACGGCCCGCAAGGGUUGUGGCGUGCCUUUUGCAUAAUGAUCUGGCGAGUUACUGUCUGCGGCAAGGGUAAGCCUUAUCCAGGCGCACCCGAAGCGAAAGCGAGUCUUAAAAGGGCGUCAAGUUGCAGGCGGUAGGCGCGAAACCGGUUGAUCUACCCAUGGGCAGGUUGAAGAGAGGGUAAAACCUCUUGGAGGACCGAAGCCGUGAACGUUGAAAAGUUCUGGCAUGACCUGUGGGGAGGGCUUAAAGUGCAAUCAUAACCGGAGAUAUCUCGUUCUCUCCGAAAUAGUUUUUGGACUAGCCUCAGCAUGUCAGUACACGGGGGUAGAGCUACUGAAUGGGGUCUGGGGGCCUACCCGGCUACCCGCCCCAAUCAAACUCCGAAUACCGUGUACGUAGCGCUGGGAGUAAGACUACGAGGGAUAAUCUUCGUGGUCAAAAGGGAAACAACCCGGACCAUCGGCUAAGGUCCCUAAGUAAUGCUCAGUUGAAAAGGUAGUCAGAAUGCAGUGACAGCCAGGAUGUUGGCUUAGAAGCAGCCACCAUUUAAAAAGUGCGUAACAGCUUACUGGUCGAGGAUUCUGGCGCCAAUAAUUAUCGGGGAUAAGCAUUACACCGAAGCCGUGGGACUCGUAUGAGUCGGUAGGAGAGCGUUGCUGUCAGCGUCGAAGUUUUCCCGUAAGGGUUGAUGGAGCGGCAGCAAGUGAAUAUGCCAGAUUGAGUAACGAUUAAUGCAGUGAGAAUCUGCAUCCCCGUAUGCCCAAGGUUUCCUGGGGAAGGUAAUUCCGCCCAGGGUUAGUCGGAUCCUAAGGCGAGGCCGAAAGGCGUAGUCGAUGGACAGCUUGGUUAAUAUUCCAGCACCCUCGCGUAGGUUGAUGGCAGGUGACGGAUUUCCAUAUCUCAACGGGACAGUGAAGCGUCCAGGCCUUUGGGCCGAGGUUGGGUGAGGAAGUCUCAAGAAAAGCCCUGCCGGACGUUUGCGAGGUCCGUACCAAAACUGACACAGGUGGGCGUGGCGAAUAGCCUCAGGGGCUCGAGAAAACGGUCCUGAAGGAACUAGGCAAUCUAACCCCGUAAGUUCGCGAUAAGGGGGCCCUACUCGCAAGAGAGGGCGCAGAGAAAAGGCUCUGGGAACUGUUUAUCAAAAACACAGCACUGUGCUAACUCGCAAGAGGAUGUAUACAGUGUGACGCUUGCCCGGUGCCGGAACGUCAAGGGAGCUGGUCAGCGCAAGCGAAGCUAGCGACCGAAGCGCCGGUAAACGGCGGCCGUAACUCUGACGGUCCUAAGGUAGCGAAGUUCCUUGUCGGGUAAGUUCCGACGCGCAUGAAUAGCGUAAUCACUGGAGCACUGUCUCCAGGACCGACUCGGUGAAAUAGUAGUGGCGGAAUAUCGUGACUGGGAAACAGAUCGGAAGAGCACACGUCUGAACUCCAGUCACCGGCUAUGAUCUCGUAUGC